RNAcentral lists this transfer RNA (73 nucleotides) under Mesorhizobium australicum. It matches the Rfam family "tRNA". Rfam says of the family: Transfer RNA (tRNA) molecules are approximately 80 nucleotides in length. Their secondary structure includes four short double-helical elements and three loops (D, anti-codon, and T loops). Lineage: Bacteria; Pseudomonadati; Pseudomonadota; Alphaproteobacteria; Hyphomicrobiales; Phyllobacteriaceae. The record is from Rfam by way of RNAcentral.
GCCCAGUUAGCUCAGUUGGUAGAGCAGCGGAUUGAAAAUCCGCGUGUCCGUGGUUCGAAUCCGCGACUGGGCA